UGGUUAUCACUAAUGAGAGGAUAGAUUUACGUAGGCCUGCUGCUCCUAGAUAUGGGGUGGGCAACGACUCAAAAGGAAAUGAUCAUAAACUAGCUAUUAAGCACUUAUUGGAACACUGGUGUCUUUCAUAGGAGGGAAAUCCUUCUUAAAUAAAACAUGGGACAACACAAACCCAUGAAAGUCUUUCUCAUGGCCACCUAUACUUUCAUCAUUUUAAAACCUUGUCUCCAUGCUGCUUUGUUGCUACCUGCCAACUUUUUUUUACUUUAAAAAAAAAACGUUUAAUCAAAAUCUUUACUUUACGCAUUUGCCAACGUCUUAAGUUUUUUAUUUUUUUCCUCGCUCUUCUUUUUUCAUUCAUAUUUUUCACCAUGGACGCUUUAUCUGGACAUGGUUCUACAGGACCUCCACCAGCCGAAGAUCCACAAACAGGACCAAGCCUGGUCUGCUGAGGAGUGAUGGACUCCACCCUAGCUGGAGGGGAACUCUCAUCUUAUCUAUCAAAUAGACAGGGCUCUAACUCCUCUCGCUCCACAAUGAGAUAGGGUGCAGGCCACCGUUCAAAGUUUUGGAUAUUUUUUAUAACCCAACCCUGGAUCUGUACUUCUCCGCAACUUUGUCCCUGACCUGUUUGGAGAGCUCUUUGGUCUUCAUGGUGCCGCUUGCUUGGUGGUGCGCCUUGCUAAGUGGUGUUGCAGACUCUGGGGCCUUUCAGAACAGGUGUAUAUAUACUCAGAUUAUGUGACACUUAGAUUGCACACAGGUGGACUUUAUUUAACUAAUUAUGUGACUUCUGGAGGUAAUUGGUUGCACCAGAUCUUAUUUAAGGGCUUCAUAGCAAAGGGAGUGAAUCCAUAUGCACGCACCAGUUUUCAGUUGUUUUGUUUUUGAAUUUUUUGAAACAAGUUAUUUUUUUCAUUUCACUUCACCAAUUUGGACUAUUUUGUGUAUGUCCAUUACAUGAAAUCCAAAUAAAAAUCAAUUUAAAUUACAGGUUGUAAUGCAACAAAAUAGGAAAAACGCCAAGGGGGAUGAAUACAUGUAAGCAUGUUUCUCACACCCUGACCUGAGAGAGACGUUUUUCUCUGUUUGGUUGGGUCAGGUUGUGACAUGGGGUGGGCAUUCUAUGUGUUAUAUUUCUAUGUUCCAUUCUAUGUUUCCUAUUUCUUUGUGUUGAGCCGAGUAUGGUUCCUAAUCAGAGGCAGCUGUCUUUCGUUGUCUCUGAUUAGGAAUCAUACUUAGGCAGCCCUUUUUCCCUCGUGUGUGGGAUCUUGUUUUUGUACAGCUCAGUAAGCCUGCAGAACGUGACGUUCGUUUUUUCUUUGUUUGUUGUUUUGAUUUCGUGUUCUGAGUUGAAUAAAAAUAGAAAUAUGAACACGUACCACGCUGCACCUUGGUCUACUCAUUUUGACGAUCGUCACAAUGUCUGACGUCUAUCUGGGAGUCUUGAGUUGGGUGUAGGAGUUGGCACACAUGACAUGCACUGUCAACUGUGGGACCUUAAAUAGACAGGUGUGUGCCUUUCUAAAUCAUUUCCAAUCAAUUGAAUUUACCACAGGUUGUAGAAACAUCUCAAUGGAUGAUCAAUGGAAACAGGAUGUACCUGAGCUCAAAUUCGUAGCAAAGGGUCUGAAUACUUAUGUAAAUUAGCUAUUCACACAGCUGUAACACAUAUGGACAAGAGGAACACCUAUGUAAGAAUGCUGUUCAUUGACUACAGUUCAGCAUUCAACGCUACGGUUCCCUUCAUGCUCAACACCAAGCUCAGAGCCCUGGGUCUGGACACAACCCUCUGCAACUGGAUCCUGGACUUCCUGACUGGCUGACCACAGGCUGUGAGGAUUGGCAACAACACCUUCUCCACACUGAUUGACGAACACAGGCACUAUGGUGCCAUUAAAGCAACCUCUCCCUCAAUGUCAGGAAAACAAAGGAGUUGGUUGUCGUAGCAACACACAUGCCCCACCCACUUGAGGAUCUGUCUUUUUCAGCCAUCUAUUUCCUGUGUUUGAGGGGUGCAAAAUUCACUUGUCACUUAAAUCUUGCUGGAUUGAUUGCUUUCAUUUUCUUCCUGCGAUUCUUUCAAACUCUUGCUUGUGCCUGUUGUGUUUUUCUCGUUAUUGUUACGACUGCGAAAAUGUUUGAAAUGACCUGUCAAACACACCCCAGUCAUGGCUGAAAUGGGAAAAAUGGAAAACAAUGUCUUUCCGUUGCAUCUAUAAGAACACGAAAGCUUCUUUGGAGAUUCAACACAUCAUCUUGACACAUACACUACCAUUCAAAAGUUUGGGGUCACUUAGAAAUGCCAUGCUGGCCUUCUAGGCAGAGUUCCUCUGUCCAGUGUCUGUGAUCUUUUGCCCAUCUUAAUCUUUUCUUUUUAUUGGCUAGUCUGAGAUAUGGCUUUUUCUUUGCAACUCUGCCUAGAAGGCCAGCGUCCCGGAGUCACCUCUUCACUGUUGAUGUUGAGACUGGUGUUUUGUGGGUAUUAUUUAAUGAAGCUUCCAGUUGAGGACUUGUGAGGCGUCUAUUUCUCAAACUAGACACUGUAAUGUACUUGUCCUCUUGCUCAGUUGUGCACUGGGGCUUCCCACUACUCUUUCUAUUCUGGUUAGAGCCAGUUUGCGCUGUUCUGUGAAGGGAGUAGUACAAGGCGUUGUACCAGAUCUUCAAUUUCUUUGCAAUUUCUCGCACGGAAUAUAGCCGUAAAUUGUUUCUGGCCAUUUUUAGCCUGUAAUCGAACCCACAAAUGCUGAUGCUCCAGACACUCAAUUAGUCUAAAGAAGGCCAGGUUUAUUGUUUCUUUAAUCAGAACAACAGUUUUCAGCUGUGCUAACAUAAUUGCAAAAGGGUUUUCUAAUGAUCAAUUAGCCUUUUAAAAUGAUAAACUUGGAUUAGCUGUCACGACUUCCGCCGAAGUCGGCUCCUCUCCUUGUUCGGGCGGCGUUCGGCGAUCGACGUCACCGGCUUUCUAGCCAUCGUCGCUCCAUUUUUCAUAUGUCCAUUUGUUACGUCUUGUUCCAUACACACCUGGUUUUCAUUCCCCAAUCAAUCUACAUGUAUUUAGUCCUCUGUUCCCCAUCAUGUCUUUGUGUGUAAUUGUUCAUUGUUAAUGGUGUAUGUUCACGGGCGAUACUUUUAUAGUUUAUGUUCCGUGUUUUUGGGCACUUAUGUCAUUUUUUGUGCCUAUUGUUGAAUGGAAUACAAUUGUGCCUGUUUACUCUACUCUGCUCUCCUGCACCUGACUUCGCCUCCCUUACACAGCCUUAACAUUAGCUAACACAACGUGACAUUGGAACACAGGAGUGAUGGUUGCUGAUAAUGGGCGUCUGUAUGCCUAUGUAGAUAUUCCAUAAAAUAUCUGCCGUUUCCAGCUACAAUAGUCAUUUACAACGUUAACAAUGUCUACACUGUAUUUCUGAUCAAUUUUAUUUUAUUGGAGAAAAAAAAUGUGCUUUUCUUUAAAAAACAUUGACAUUUCUAAUUGAACCCAAGCUUUUGAACGGUAGUGUAGUGUACAUCACAAGAAAGAGAAGAAAGAUAUCUUAAUUUUAAUGUGUGUUCAUUUUCGGUGGAAAAGUAAUAAUGUGGUACAGUUUAAAUGUUUACAAAUUAGAUGCACC
This 3620-nucleotide long non-coding RNA is filed under the name Salmo salar (Atlantic salmon). RNAcentral describes it as "lncRNA (ENSSSAG00000086886.1)". Lineage: Eukaryota; Metazoa; Chordata; Actinopteri; Salmoniformes; Salmonidae. The record is from RNAcentral.